CGAAAGCCUGACGGAGCAAUACCGCGUGAGGGAUGAAAGCCUGUGGGUUGUAAACCUCUUUUCUCAAGGAAGAAGUUCUGACGGUACUUGAGGAAUAAGCAUCGGCUAACUCUGUGCCAGCAGCCGCGGUAAUACAGAGGAUGCAAGCGUUAUCCGGAAUCACUGGGCAUAAAGCGUCUGUAGGUUGUUUAGUAAGUCUGCUGUUAAAGACUAGGGCUCAACCCUAGGCCAGCAGUGGAAACUGCUAGACUUGAGUAUGGUAGAGGUAGAGGGAAUUCCUAGUGUAGCGGUGAAAUGCGUAGAUAUUAGGAAGAACACCAAUGGCGAAAGCACUCUACUGGGCCAUAACUGACACUGAGAGACGACAGCUAGGGGAGCA
This 379-nucleotide ribosomal RNA is filed under the name uncultured cyanobacterium. RNAcentral's name for it is "bacterial SSU rRNA". It matches the Rfam family "Bacterial small subunit ribosomal RNA", at positions 376 to 770 of the family's 1533-position model. Lineage: Bacteria; Bacillati; Cyanobacteriota. The record is from RNAcentral.